Molecule: RNA transcript, 1635 nt
Organism: Xiphias gladius (swordfish)
Lineage: Eukaryota; Metazoa; Chordata; Actinopteri; Istiophoriformes; Xiphiidae
Gene: akr1a1a
Gene name: aldo-keto reductase family 1, member A1a (aldehyde reductase)
Exons: 9
Source: RefSeq, a predicted model, not a curated record
AGGCAGACUUUGACCUCAGCCUGUUAAAAUCCAGAUGGAAAGCAGUUGAUCACUGGUCCAUCUACCAGAGCGACCCCAGGUCCUCAGAGCUAAAACAUGAGCACCUUUGUGACUCUCUCAACGGGGCAGAAGAUGCCCAUGGUCGGACUUGGCACAUGGAAGAGCGCUCCAGGACAGGUGAAGCAGGCAGUGCUGGCAGCUUUAGACUGUGGGUACAGACACAUCGACUGCGCGGCUGCUUACAACAAUGAACAGGAGGUCGGAGAGGCUCUGGCUCUGAGGGUCGGUCCUGGGAAGGCUCUGCGUCGCCAGGAGGUGUUCGUGACCUCCAAACUGUGGAACACCAAGCAUGACCCAGAGGAUGUUGAAGAAGCAUGCAGGACCAGUCUAGCCCACCUGGGUCUCUCCUACCUGGAUCUUUACCUCAUGCACUGGCCCAUGGCAUUUCAGCGGGGAGAGGAGCUGAUGCCUCGGCGGGAGGACGGAAGCGUCUAUUAUUCUGAAACACACUACAGGCACACGUGGACCGCCAUGGAGCGCCUGGUGGAUGACGGUCUGGUCAAGGCCAUAGGACUGUCCAACUUCAACGCCAGGCAGACGGACGACAUCAUCAGCACGGCCAGACACAAACCCGUGAUCAACCAGGUGGAAUGCCAUCCUUAUUUGUCCCAAGCAGAUCUCCUGUCUCACUGUCGGUCGGUGGCAGUGUGUGUGACAGCCUACAGCCCCCUGGGUAGCGGGGACAGACCCUGGGCCUCACCUGAUGAAGCGAGCCUGCUGGAGGAUCCUCGCCUGGGAGCCGUCGCCCAGAGAUACCAGAAAACACCCGCCCAGGUCAUACUCAGGUGGCACGUUCAGAGGGGUGUAGUGUGCAUCCCUAAAAGCGUGACGCCCUCCAGGAUCCAGCAGAACUCGCAGGUGUUUGACUUCUCCCUGUCAGAAGACGACAUGAAGCUGAUUGGGUCCUUCAACCGCAACAAGCGUUUCAUCGUCCCAUCGGUGGAGGUGAGCCGCUGCUUUUAAAGACACCUCGCAAGAUUUCACGACCACUUGCUUGUCUUCGUCUAUUAACAGCCAUCCAAGUACAAAAUGUUUACUGGCAGAGACUCACCGGUGGCCGUUUUAGGUCUCAGCGAAGGUGUACCGUGAGCGGGACGGUAAGAGAGUGUGGAGAGAUGCAGAACAUCCUCAUUUCCCCUUCCAUGAUCCGUACUGAGUCUACCCCCAACCCCAAAGGGUUUACACUUCGCUUUUAAUGAUUGUUAUCGUACACUGAAGAAAUCAAGUUUUUAAAAUUUUAUAUUUGAAUUUCAUUUGUUUGUUUCUCUUUGGGAUGAAUGAUAAUAUUUAAGUGAUUACAUUUUUCAAGAACAGUUCUUCUAGUUACUUCUCAACAGAUUGCAGGGAGGAAGAAAAGAAGGGAAAAAAAAAAUAAAUGCAAUACUGAAAUCAACAUGGGCUGUCCCCAUGGCCUAAUCAUACCAUAUAACCACAAUGUCCUGGUGACACCAGUGUGAUUCCAGCCAAAGAACUUUGUUACAUUCAUUUCUGUCCCUCUCCAUGUUUCCUGCUUGGCCCUACUGUGAUCAAAUAAAAAAGGCAAGAAAUGUACAUUAACUCUGUCAAUAAAUAAUU